GACGUAGGGGGCGAGCGUUGUCCGGAAUUACUGGGCGUAAAGAGCACGUAGGCGGAUAAUUAAGUCAGAUGUGAAAGACCGGGGCCCAACCUCGGGGUUGCAUCUGAAACUGGAUAUCUUGAGGGCAGGAGAGGAAAGUGGAAUUCCUGGUGUAGCGGUAAAAUGCGUAGAUAUCAGGAGGAAUACCGGUGGCGAAGGCGGUCAUCUGGCUCAUUAUUGACGUUGAGGCACGAAAGCGUGGGUAGCGAACAGGAUUAGAUACCCUGGUAGUCCCU
This 275-nucleotide ribosomal RNA is filed under the name uncultured prokaryote. RNAcentral describes it as "partial 16S ribosomal RNA". It matches the Rfam family "Bacterial small subunit ribosomal RNA", at positions 524 to 798 of the family's 1533-position model. The record is from RNAcentral.